UGCAGCAGGAAGAACACUGGUGAACAGGCAGGCAUCGGAAAAAGCAUGAAAACAAAACAAAAUCACGGUUGGAACCCAUGGAGGCUCUCCGGUGGCAGCUAUAAAGACUAGAUGGAUGCCUGCUGAGCUGAGACAUCCUGAAACAGGAGCAUGAUUAAAACUGUUCCGUGCCUUGGGGCCAGGGAUGAAGGGAUAUAUGAAGUCUGAGGGUACACAUAGGAGGGCCAUUUGAUGUUAUGUGACCUCCUUCAGGAUGUUCUGCCUAGAACCCUAGAGGCAACCACAUUGCUGAGACUCCUUGGGUACAG
Long non-coding RNA from Mus musculus (house mouse), 308 nucleotides. RefSeq annotates it as predicted gene, 53894. The record is from RefSeq and is a predicted model, not a curated record. The transcript is spliced from 3 exons. Lineage: Eukaryota; Metazoa; Chordata; Mammalia; Rodentia; Muridae.